AUCGCUUCUCGGCCUUUUGGCUAAGAUCAAGUGUAGUAAAUGUUUCCAGUACAUAAUAAAGCUUUUGUUUGAUCUUGUUAAUCAGUUAAUUCAUUUUUGGAUGUUGGACUGGUAUGUAUACCUAGAAUAAAUUUAUUUGACUGUGGAGUAUAAUUAUA
Small nuclear RNA from Heterocephalus glaber (naked mole-rat), 158 nucleotides. Its record names the gene U2. It matches the Rfam family "U2 spliceosomal RNA". Rfam says of the family: U2 is a small nuclear RNA (snRNA) component of the spliceosome (involved in pre-mRNA splicing). Complementary binding between U2 snRNA (in an area lying towards the 5' end but 3' to hairpin I) and the branchpoint sequence (BPS) of the intron results the bulging out of an unpaired adenosine, on the BPS, which initiates a nucleophilic attack at the intronic 5' splice site, thus starting the first of two transesterification reactions that mediate splicing. The record is from Ensembl. NCBI's taxonomy places the organism in Eukaryota, Metazoa, Chordata, Mammalia, Rodentia, Bathyergidae.